GAGCUAGACUAAAAUUUGCACAAACACUACAACUUCGGGCUCUGAAGUCUGAGUACAAUUUCUGAACACCGGGGCUUCGUUGCAAGGAUCUGUCCCUGACCAAAGAUAUCUUAAAAGAUUUUGGAGACCCUAAGCACAGAGCUGAAUGGAGACGUUGACAGUUCCAGACAGACAACUGAUGGAUGUGCAGAGAGGCUACCUCAUGUGUGCAGUAAGUCAGACUCGUGCACAGGCUGUGAUCCUGAUACUUUGCAAGCCAGGCUGACGAUGAUCCAGAAAAGCAACAGGAUCAGGAUUUCACACACUACAAUCUGCAGAGCAUUUGAGGUCUUCUGAGCCAAUAAACAUGGGGUGAUAUCAAAAUGAAUAAUGCUGAGGUGGUUACUGGCAAAGCAUUAUGGAGAAUAUGCUUGUAUGACCUCGUUUAUAUGUAAAUCCUGCUCCAGUUCAUCAGGAUGUUAAGCAAUUUCAAAGCCAUACUACGCUGCCUUACUACCCACUUGAAGGAGUUUCUUCUAUUAUGCUGCUUUGAUUCCCGAUACAAGCCAGCCUGCUUCCUCUGACGAGAGGUGAGCGACGACCCCCACUACAUUUCAAGUCCCACCACACAGCCAAGCUGGCAAACAUUGCCUUUGAUAACGCGGCUGCUAACUCCUGCUGCCCCAGCUCUAAGACUGUCUUGGCAUCAGAGACCAAUUUUCCUGUACAUGGUCAGUAUUUCUUUACUGCAGAAAAUCUCGGUUGAGAUGGCAGAACAGGCAUGAAACAUUCAGAACUGGCACCCCCUUGGGCUGGCUUCUUUCUCCAGUUUGGAGCUGUCAGAGAGCUGAGAUGCCAUCUCGAAUAGCAAAAAUUAAGAGAGCCACAGAAAAGAGUCCUCACAAAGGACCUAAAAGUACAAUUGUUAGCUGUUUCAGGUAAAAAUAUCACACCUAGCAUGAUUAGCUGGGAUGGUCAGCCCAUAGGACCUCAUCCAAAGUUCUCUGGAGCCAAUAGGAAAACAAUGGUAGAACAAAACCCUACGGAGCUCUUCAUCAUUCAGUCACUGCAAACCUACUCAACCUCACCUCUACGACUCCCAUGCAAUAAGACACGCUAUUUCAUUUUGGCUAUCUAUUCAGAAGAUUACAAAGAUUAUCAUCUUUUUGACAGCAUCUCUUUACUUCUUUGAGCAACGUAACAGACUUGUGGCAGAAAAAUGAUCACCAUGUGCAAGCUGAGUUCUGUGGGCUUCAGAGAAAAGGGAAACCAUACAGCAAUAUUUGUUGGUCUAAAGAUUUUUUCUA
Molecule: long non-coding RNA, 1286 nt
Organism: Egretta garzetta (little egret)
Lineage: Eukaryota; Metazoa; Chordata; Aves; Pelecaniformes; Ardeidae
Exons: 3
Source: RefSeq, a predicted model, not a curated record